Non-coding RNA from Peromyscus maniculatus bairdii (prairie deer mouse), 464 nucleotides. NCBI's taxonomy places the organism in Eukaryota, Metazoa, Chordata, Mammalia, Rodentia, Cricetidae. The record is from RefSeq and is a predicted model, not a curated record.
CCUCCCCUGCUCCCUGCCUGCUGAUGCGGCCUAGCCAGCUGCCUUGGGUCCCCAUCCCCAAGUCCUGAGCUGCUCCGCAGCUGUGCUGUCCCUGCCAGGAAGGACUGGACACUUGCACGUGGAUGACUCUGGGUAAAUGUCUUAUACCCUUGUUCUGCAAGUUCUCCUGUUUGUAAAGUGGCAAUGACACUACUUGUUACAAACUACAUUCCUACUGAUGUUGUAAGGACUGAAACUAAUGUAUUUCAAGUUCAGUUUGGUCUACUUUAGACUUAAAAUUCCUUCACAACAGACCAAGGAAAAGACUAAGCAGAGAUGUGGAAGAUCAGUCAAGUUCUAAUUCUGAUUUCUACAGAUGUAUAAAAGCUCCCUAACCUGGGUAUGACUACUGGUAGGCUGCCCAAGUUCCUAUGGAUGACCUUACAGCCAUGCUCCAGGGAGACUGCAUGAACUGAACUCAGUGG